ACUCACUCCCGAAACCACCCCCACCCCCCGAGGACAUGAUCUUACGCUAACAUCCCCCGCCGCGGCCACUAUCCCUCCAACCAACUAUGGGGAACAGUGGCACACGUACACAACUAAAACAGAAUACGCAAAAGGUGCAAGAUAGAUAACAACAAAAUAGACCACAAUCGAACUGAAAGCUAAAAUAUGUAAGAAGUUACACAAAGUAAACAAG
RNAcentral lists this long non-coding RNA (214 nucleotides) under Nicotiana benthamiana. RNAcentral's name for it is "long non-coding RNA (NBEN_LNC023128)". Lineage: Eukaryota; Viridiplantae; Streptophyta; Magnoliopsida; Solanales; Solanaceae. The record is from RNAcentral.